This 274-nucleotide ribosomal RNA is filed under the name uncultured bacterium. RNAcentral's name for it is "partial 16S ribosomal RNA". It matches the Rfam family "Bacterial small subunit ribosomal RNA", at positions 523 to 796 of the family's 1533-position model. The record is from RNAcentral.
AUACGAAAGGGGCUAGCGUUGUUCGGAAUUACUGGGCGUAAAGCGCACGUAGGCGGUACUGUAAGUUGGGGGUGAAAUCCCGGAGCUCAACUCCGGAACUGCCUCCAAAACUACAGAGCUUGAGGAUGUGAGAGGAGAGUGGAAUUCCCAGUGUAGAGGUGAAAUUCGUAGAUCUUGGGAAGAACACCGGCGGCGAAGGCGGCUCUCUGGUCCGGUUCUGACGCUGAGGCGCGAAAGCGUGGGGAGCAAACAGGAUUAGAAACCCCGGUAGUCC